This 400-nucleotide ribosomal RNA is filed under the name phytoplankton environmental sample. RNAcentral describes it as "partial small subunit ribosomal RNA". The record is from RNAcentral.
ACGAAAAAUACCUUGAGCUGUUGCGUUAUUGCGCUGCUUAGAUGCAGUGUUGCACAUAUCACUUUUGCUUCAACGACUGCUGCUUUCGCUGUAACCCUAGACAGAUAACAAUAAGCGCUUUUUGUAGGCAAGAGCUCCGCCUAUGACUAACUGCGCCAAAAUAUCUUCCAAUCCCCUUAUCCAAUUUAAUUCAUCGAAUUCUUACAAUUUAGACCCUAAUAUCACAUCAUUAGACAUUAAUUGCCUCUGCCAAAAUUCUGUCUACAAAUGUUUUAGUUCGCUCCAGUAAAGUUGUUAAUAACGACUACUAAAUCCGCAUGUUACGGGAUUUCUUAUUAAUUCUUUUUUCGUAAGGAACAGCGGAUCUUAAUGGAUGGCGCCAGGUGGUAUGGAAGCUAAU